This 465-nucleotide ribosomal RNA is filed under the name Vreelandella stevensii. RNAcentral's name for it is "partial 16S ribosomal RNA". It matches the Rfam family "Bacterial small subunit ribosomal RNA", at positions 338 to 795 of the family's 1533-position model. The record is from RNAcentral. Lineage: Bacteria; Pseudomonadati; Pseudomonadota; Gammaproteobacteria; Oceanospirillales; Halomonadaceae.
CCUACGGGGGGCUGCAGUGGGGAAUAUUGGACAAUGGGGGCAACCCUGAUCCAGCCAUGCCGCGUGUGUGAAGAAGGCCCUCGGGUUGUAAAGCACUUUCAGUGAGGAAGAACGCCUGGUGGUUAAUACCCAUCAGGAAAGACAUCACUCACAGAAGAAGCACCGGCUAACUCCGUGCCAGCAGCCGCGGUAAUACGGAGGGUGCGAGCGUUAAUCGGAAUUACUGGGCGUAAAGCGCGCGUAGGUGGCUUGAUAAGCCGGUUGUGAAAGCCCCGGGCUCAACCUGGGAACGGCAUCCGGAACUGUGAAGCUAGAGUGCAGGAGAGGAAGGUAGAAUUCCCGGUGUAGCGGUGAAAUGCGUAGAGAUCGGGAGGAAUACCAGUGGCGAAGGCGGCCUUCUGGACUGACACUGACACUGAGGUGCGAAAGCGUGGGUAGCAAACAGGAUUAGAUACCCGAGUAGUC